UGAAUUAUGAAAGCGCCAGAACUACAAGUUGUGUAGUUGACGAGGAGGAGUUUUAUCGAGAUUUCGGCGGAUGACUCCCGGUUGUUCAUCACAACCGAAAGCUUUUACUUAAAUCACAGAGGUGACUCGGUGGACAAAGGUAAAGGUUUGAUGAGA
This 156-nucleotide non-coding RNA is filed under the name Bacillus cereus. RNAcentral describes it as "GlcN6P sequence". It matches the Rfam family "glmS glucosamine-6-phosphate activated ribozyme aptamer". Rfam says of the family: This entry contains a glucosamine-6-phosphate activated ribozyme that is found in the mRNA for GlmS. GlmS is an enzyme that uses fructose-6-phosphate and glutamine to generate glucosamine-6-phosphate. Lineage: Bacteria; Bacillati; Bacillota; Bacilli; Caryophanales; Bacillaceae. The record is from RNAcentral.